This 253-nucleotide ribosomal RNA is filed under the name uncultured bacterium. RNAcentral describes it as "partial 16S ribosomal RNA". It matches the Rfam family "Bacterial small subunit ribosomal RNA", at positions 524 to 776 of the family's 1533-position model. The record is from RNAcentral.
UACGUAGGGUGCAAGCGUUAAUCGGAAUUACUGGGCGUAAAGCGUGCGCAGGUGGUUUUACAAGACCGACGUGAAAGCCCCGGGCUCAACCUGGGAACUGCGUUGGUGACUGUAAGACUAGAGUGUGGCAGAGGGGGGUGGAAUUCCACGUGUAGCAGUGAAAUGCGUAGAUAUGUGGAGGAACACCGAUGGCGAAGGCAGCCCCCUGGGUUAACACUGACACUCAUGCACGAAAGCGUGGGGAGCAAACAGG